Molecule: long non-coding RNA, 1685 nt
Organism: Lycium barbarum (goji berry)
Lineage: Eukaryota; Viridiplantae; Streptophyta; Magnoliopsida; Solanales; Solanaceae
Exons: 2
Source: RefSeq, a predicted model, not a curated record
UAUUCAAUUCUGGGACUACCUAAACUUUGCAAAUAAUCAAAAGCUAAAGGAUAAGAAAUAAAAUCCUAAAAAGCUAAUAACAAACUCUGAAACUAAUUUGUACAGAUCACUAUUCUAGAAUCAUCCAAAAGAAUACUAAGCUAAUACUAAGUGUAGCACGUACAGUGCACUACUUGACUUGGGAUAUCAUGGAUAUGAGAUCAUAAAUGGGCUGCUCGUGGUCAUCUUUGCAGAGGCCCAAUGUGGUACACACAAUAUCAGCCCAAUAAACCCAACAACACAAUAUCAGCCCAAACACAAGAUUGGACAGUCCAGAACCUUCAGUUUCAUUUGGUCUUUGAUGAAGUCGAAGACUCCAUUGCUGCACCAUCGUUUUCUUCUCCAAUAUCCCCCCUCAAGUUGGAGGGGGACGUAGUAACACCCAACUUGUCCACAAGAAAACGAUGAGCAGGUCCAAACAAUGGUUUUGUGAAAAUGUCGGCGACUUGAGAUUUGGAAGGUAAGUAAGAGAGGGAAAUGAUGCCGGCGAGAUACUGUUGCCGGACAAAAUGGAAAUCGAGGUCGACAUGCUUCAUACGUUCGUGUAAAGUCACCGGUAAUGAGGGUUUAAUGGAUAAAUCAUCAAACUAACGCACCAGCCAAGUCACUUCUGCCACAACUAGCCUCAUAGAUCGAUACUCUGCUUCUGCAGAGGACAAAGAAACCAUGGUCUGUUUCUUGGAUUUCCAUGAGAUCGGCGAACCACUAAAGUUUACAAAAUAGCCACUGAUAGAUCGACGUGAUUCCGGGCGAGAACCCCAAUCGGAAUCGCAAAAGGCACUGAGUUAAGAAGAUGGACCAGAGUUCAUAUAAAGCUCCAAAUUUGGAGCUCCAAGAAGAUAUCGUAAACAAUGAAAUGCAGCAUCAAGGUGAGGUUGACGAGGUGUCUGCAUAUACUGACUGAGAUGCUGAAUGGAGUAGGAUAAAUCUGGUCGAGUAUGCGUCAAGAAAUUCAAUUUCCCCAAAAGACGCCGAUAAUAAGUGGGAUCAAUCAAAGAAGAACCUUGAUCCAUUAUGAGCUUGAUAGAAGGAUCAAGUGGGGAAGAUGGAGGCUUUAAAACAAGGCAAUCAAAUUCUGCUAACAACUCCAAGCUGAUAGAGAAGAGCACUAUUGCUCUGUCCAAAUCUGUCUUCCAGAUCCUUCCAUAUGUUCCUAGCUGUCUUGGAGUACAAGACACUCUCUCCAAUAUCCUUUGAAAGGGAGUUGAGCAGCCACGAGAUCACCAUGUCAUUACAUCUGUUCCAAAGAUGGAAUGAUGGAUCUAAAGGCGAAGGUUCUUUAAUGGAACCAUCUAUGAAUCCCAGUUUAUUUUUGGCAGAAAAUGCAAUGUAACACUGCUCUCCUCCAUCCUCCAUAAUUCUUCCCAGCAAAUGGUGUAUUGACAAGCACCAUCCCAGGUGAGUUAGAAGGGUGAAUGAAAAAGGGGUGAGUUGAAUCAUAGCUAGUGUUUUUUUUCAGUUGAUGAAGAUGGUGGAAAAACUCCAAUAGUGGAAGAAGUGAGAUCAGCAGCAGUUGAUUCCAUGGUUCACAGUAGAAAAACAAAAGAGGAGAAGAAUGAAAAAAAAAAAACUUACUGCUCUUAUACCAUAAAGAGAAAUGUAAUAUGAAAUUUUCUGUCUAUUUAUUGAAGAAGACUGUUCCUAUA